Molecule: ribosomal RNA, 497 nt
Filed under: uncultured bacterium
Lineage: Bacteria
Description: partial 16S ribosomal RNA
Rfam family: Bacterial small subunit ribosomal RNA
Source: RNAcentral
GAUGAACGCUGGCGGCGUGCCUAAUACAUGCAAGUCGAGCGAACGGACGAGAAGCUUGCUUCUCUGAUGUUAGCGGCGGACGGGUGAGUAACACGUGGAUAACCUACCUAUAAGACUGGGAUAACUUCGGGAAACCGGAGCUACUACCGGAUAAUAUUUUGAACCGCAUGGUUCAAAGGUAAAAGACGGUCUUGCUGUAACUUAUAGCUGGAUCCGCGCUGCAUUAGCUAGUUGGUAAGGUAACGGCUUACCAAGGCAACGAUGCAUAGCCGACCUGGGAGGGUGAUCGGCCACACUGGAACUGAGACACGGUCCAGACUCCUACGGGAGGCAGCAGUAGGGAAUCUUCCGCAAUGGGCGAAAGCCUGACGGAGCAACGCCGCGUGAGUGAUGAAGGUCUUCGGAUCGUAAAACUCUGUUAUUAGGGAAGAACAUAUGUGUAAGUAACUGUGCACAUCGUGACGGUACCUAAUCAGAAAGCCACGGCUAACUACGUG